UCCAGGAAUUCGUAGAUGGCACAGGCAUGGCUGACAAGGCUGAGGCUCACAGCGUUUAAAAUAGCUGAGACUUAAGUGUUUUCACCUUGCAGGUCAUGCAGGCACACACUGAGGCACAUACAUAGACAUGCACACACACAUACACACUGAGGCACAUACAUAGACAUGCACACACACAUACACACUGAGGCACAUACAUAGACAUGCACACACACACCCACAUACACACUGAGGCACACACAUAGACAUGCACACACACACACACACUGAGGCACACACAUAGACAUGCACACACACAUACACACUGAGGCACACACAUAGACAUGCACACACACACACACACACACACACACACACACACACUGAGGCACAUACAUAGACAUGCACACACACACACACACUGAGGCACACACAUAGACAUGCACACACACACACACACACACACUGAGGCACAUACAUAGACAUGCACACACACACACACACACACACACACUGAGGCACAUACAUAGACAUGCACACACACACACACACACACACACACACACACACACACUGAGGCACAUACAUAGACAUACGAACACACAUUCUUAGACUGGCACACACCAUACAUACACCAUACAUACAUGCAAACACACCACUGGCAUACACAUAUACAUAGACACACAAACUAGCACUCACACGCUCUCACACACAUACACACACACACUUACAUAUAUUCAUAUUCACACACACACAUUUACACACACAUACUCACAUGGUCACAAAAAACACACACACACACAUAUUCACACAC
Long non-coding RNA from Clupea harengus (Atlantic herring), 793 nucleotides. The record is from Ensembl. NCBI's taxonomy places the organism in Eukaryota, Metazoa, Chordata, Actinopteri, Clupeiformes, Clupeidae.